CGACAUGAUGACGUACAACGUGAAAAUACGAAUUCCUAACAAAACGACUGAAGACGCUCUUCUUUCUCAAGAGAGGAAGAAAAGGAGAUGCAUAUUUUCGGUUCUGCUAUGCUCUGACGU
This 120-nucleotide small nucleolar RNA is filed under the name Leishmania donovani. RNAcentral's name for it is "C/D box snoRNA LD20Cs2C1". The record is from RNAcentral. Lineage: Eukaryota; Euglenozoa; Kinetoplastea; Trypanosomatida; Trypanosomatidae.